CGGCGGCCGUAACUAUAACGGUCCUAAGGUAGCGAAAUUCCUUGUCGGGUAAGUUCCGACCUGCACGAAUGGCGUAACGACUUCCCCGCUGUCUCAAAUGUGGACUCAGCGAAAUUGAAUUGUCUGUGAAGAUGCAGACUUCCCGCGGUUAGACGGAAAGACCCCAUGCACCUUUACUACAACUUCGCACUGGCAUCAGGAUUGCGAUGUGCAGGAUAGGCGGUAGGCUUUGAAGCGGGGACGCUAGUCCUCGUGGAGCCAUCCUUGAGAUACCGCCCUUCGCACUCUUGAUGUCUAACCGCGGCCCGUUAUCCGGGUCCGGGACCUGCGUGGUGGGUAGUUUGACUGGGGCGGUCGCCUCCCAAACAGUAACGGAGGCGCGCGAAGGUUGGCUCAGAGCGGUCGGAAAUCGCUCGUUGAGUGCAAUGGCAGAAGCCAGCCUGACUGCAAGACUGACAAGUCGAGCAGAGACGAAAGUCGGCCAUAGUGAUCCGGUGGUCCCGAGUGGAAGGGCCAUCGCUCAACGGAUAAAAGGUACGCUGGGGAUAACAGGCUGAUGAUGCCCAAGAGUCCAUAUCGACGGCAUCGUUUGGCACCUCGAUGUCGGCUCAUCUCAUCCUGGGGCUGGAGCAGGUCCCAAGGGUACGGCUGUUCGCCGUUUAAAGAGGUACGUGAGCUGGGUUUAGAACGUCGUGAGACAGUUCGGUCCCUAUCUGCCGUGGGUGUUGGAGACUUGAGAGGAGCUGCCCCUAGUACGAGAGGACCGGGGUGGACGUUCCACUGGUGGACCAGUUGUCGUGCCAACGGCAGUGCUGGGUAGCUAUGAACGGACAGGAUAAACGCUGAAGGCAUCUAAGCGUGAAGCCCCCCUCAAAACAAGGUCUCCCUUGAGAGCCGUGGAAGACCACCACGUCGAUAGGCCGGAGAUGUAAGUGCAGCAAUGCAUUCAGUUGACCGGUACUAAUGGCUCGAUAGGCUUGAUUUG
Molecule: ribosomal RNA, 985 nt
Filed under: mollusc metagenome
Description: bacterial LSU rRNA
Rfam family: Bacterial large subunit ribosomal RNA
Source: RNAcentral